This 1372-nucleotide long non-coding RNA is filed under the name Heterocephalus glaber (naked mole-rat). RNAcentral describes it as "lncRNA (ENSHGLG00000048206.1)". The record is from RNAcentral. Lineage: Eukaryota; Metazoa; Chordata; Mammalia; Rodentia; Bathyergidae.
UAGGGAAAAACCACGGAGAAGGCCAUCCUGUUGAAACAAGAAAAAAAGGAGGCAGGAUAAUUUUUGCCUCUCAUAACAGAGAAAAGAACCUUGUUACUCUAUUAAGAGGACUAUUUAUAUAUACACUGUCAAUCCCUCAUCAGAUGUCUGAUAAAGAUUCUUAUUUAAAUUAAAAUUUGAAAUAGGUUGAUGGAAAAGGAUGGAGAAAUGUGUUAUAAGGUACUGAGAGAUGGCAGACAUACAGGUUAUAUACAACCUCAUUUCUUCAUCUCCAAUAUUAUGCAAAAGCAGUUUGCAAAUACCAUAGUUCAUUCAUAAAUGGUGCCUUUUAGAAAUCAAAAAAAGGUUUUGAAGAAUAUUAAAGAUUUGAUGGCAAAGAACUACCAAAAUGUUUAAUAAAUCCUCAAUAAAAAACCAUUGAAAAGUUUUUCUUCCCUCUGAAAAAUGAAGGAUAAUCCCAGCACUCAGGAGGCUGAGGCAGACCCUACCAAGGUCUCAAGUCGUGCGGAACACGCCAAAUCAGCCCGCUGCAGACAGACACGCCCUACCGAGGUCCCGAGUUGAGUGGAACACACCGAGUCAGCCUGCGCCCUGGCAACAAUCCACUGGACACCCUCCCGCCGCUCCUCUGUACAGCCACCUGGUUCUACACUACAAAGACGCAGAGGACACCGGACCACCAGACCAUGGUACUGAGUCCCGCAGCUCCCGGCCCAGAGGUAGAGGCUUCUGAGCUGCCACCCCACUGUUUCUGGACCAGAGGAAGGGGCUUCCUGGCCACCAUCCCUCCCGCUGCUCCCAGCCCACAGGAAAGGGCUUUUGGGCCACCAUCCCUACCGCUGCUCCUGGCCCCUGUCCCACCUCUCCCAGCUCAGAGGUAAUCCGUGCAGGUGCCAACAGCACACACCCCCCCCCCCAGUCGAAAUGAGAAAACACAUAAGUAAGUCUCAAAACCAGACUUCCAGAUCACCUACAGCAACCCCAAAGGGAAAUGAGAUGGAACCCUCUGGUACUCAACCACCUGGACCCACUGAACUGGCAACAAAAGGGGAUCUGGAAAAAAUGAAAUCAGAAAUAAUUUCUCAGAUAACAGGAGAAAUUGUGCCCUUAGUGCAAGACAUGACUAAUAAACCUAGAGAGGAGCUGAGGAACAUGAUGGAAUCCCAACAUAAGAAACAAAUGGAAUCCAUAAAACAGAUGCAAAUAGAUUUCCAGGACAUGAAAAACUCCACUGAAAGUCUACACAGCAGAAUGAGCCAGUGUGAGGACAGAAUUUCAGAUAUAGAAGAUAAGAUUGCAAUUAGUGACCAGGAAAAGAAAAAUUGCUUCAAAAUUCUAAGGGAACAUGAGAAAUCAAUCCAGCAGCUGCUAG